AAUAGAUACCCAGGUAGUCCACGCCGUAAACGAUGAGUGCUAAGUGUUAGGGGGUUUCCGCCCCUUAGUGCUGCAGCUAACGCAUUAAGCACUCCGCCUGGGGAGUACGGUCGCAAGACUGAAACUCAAAGGAAUUGACGGGGGCCCGCACAAGCGGUGGAGCAUGUGGUUUAAUUCGAAGCAACGCGAAGAACCUUACCAGGUCUUGACAUCCCGCUGACCGCUAUGGAGACAUAGUUUUCCCUUCGGGGACAGCGGUGACAGGUGGUGCAUGGUUGUCGUCAGCUCGUGUCGUGAGAUGUUGGGUUAAGUCCCGCAACGAGCGCAACCCUUGUUCUUAGUUGCCAUCAUUUAGUUGGGCACUCUAAGGAGACUGCCGGUGACAAACCGGAGGAAGGUGGGGAUGACGUCAAAUCAUCAUGCCCCUUAUGACCUGGGCUACACACGUGCUACAAUGGACGGUACAAACGGUCGCGAAGUCGCGAGACGGAGCCAAUCCGAUAAAACCGUUCUCAGUUCGGAUUGUAGGCUGCAACUCGCUA
This 542-nucleotide ribosomal RNA is filed under the name uncultured bacterium. RNAcentral's name for it is "bacterial SSU rRNA". It matches the Rfam family "Bacterial small subunit ribosomal RNA", at positions 777 to 1317 of the family's 1533-position model. The record is from RNAcentral.